Molecule: ribosomal RNA, 253 nt
Filed under: uncultured bacterium
Lineage: Bacteria
Description: partial 16S ribosomal RNA
Rfam family: Bacterial small subunit ribosomal RNA
Source: RNAcentral
UACAGAGGGUGCUAGCGUUGUUCGGAAUCAUUGGGCGUAAAGGGCGUGUAGGCGGUUUGUUAAGUCAUGUGUGAAAUCCCUCGGCUCAACCGGGGAACGACGCAUGAAACUGGCAAGCUAGAGUACCAAAGAGGGGGGUGGAAUUCCCGGUGUAGCGGUGAAAUGCGUAGAUAUCGGGAGGAACAUCUGUGGCGAAGGCGACACCCUGGACCAGCACUGACACUGAGGCACGAAAGCGUGGGGAGCAAACAGG